UACGUAGGGUGCAAGCGUUAUCCGGAAUCACUGGGCGUAAAGCGUGCGUAGGUGGCGUGUUAAGUGUGAUGUUAAAUCGUGUGGCUCAACCAUAUCGAUGUGUCGCAUACUGGCAUGCUAGAGGACAGCAGAGGCAAGUGGAAUUUGUAGUGUAGCAGUGAAAUGCGUAGAUAUUACAAGGAACACCAAUGGCGAAGGCAGCUUGCUGGGCUACUCCUGACACUGAGGUACGAAAGCGUGGGGAGCGAACAGG
This 253-nucleotide ribosomal RNA is filed under the name uncultured bacterium. RNAcentral's name for it is "partial 16S ribosomal RNA". It matches the Rfam family "Bacterial small subunit ribosomal RNA", at positions 524 to 776 of the family's 1533-position model. The record is from RNAcentral.